RNAcentral lists this ribosomal RNA (499 nucleotides) under uncultured Glomeromycotina. RNAcentral's name for it is "partial small subunit ribosomal RNA". It matches the Rfam family "Eukaryotic small subunit ribosomal RNA", at positions 591 to 1092 of the family's 1831-position model. The record is from RNAcentral. Lineage: Eukaryota; Fungi; Glomeromycota.
CCAAUAGCGUAUAUUAAAGUUGUUGCAGUUAAAAAGCUCGUAGUUGAAUUUCGGGAUCAAAUUGUCGGUCGUGCCUCGGUACGCACUGGCGUUAUUGGUUCCUACCUUCUGAAGAACCACGAUGUCAUUAAUUUGGUGUCGCGGGGAAUCAGGACUGUUACUUUGAAAAAAUUAGAGUGUUUAAAGCAGGCUCGCGCUUGAAUACAUUAGCAUGGAAUAAUGAAAUAGGACGUUUGAUUCUAUUUUGUUGGUUUCUAGGGUCGACGUAAUGAUUAAUAGGGAUAGUUGGGGGCAUUAGUAUUCAAUUGUCAGAGGUGAAAUUCUUGGAUUUAUUGAAGACUAACUACUGCGAAAGCAUUUGCCAAGGAUGUUUUCAUUAAUCAAGAACGAAAGUUAGGGGAUCGAAGACGAUCAGAUACCGUCGUAGUCUUAACCAUAAACUAUGCCGACUAGGGAUCGGAUGAUGUUAAUUUUUUAAUGACUCAUUCGGCGCCUUACG